UACGUAGGGUGCAAGCGUUAAUCGGAAUUACUGGGCGUAAAGCGUGCGUAGGCGGUUGGUUAGGUCUGUCGUGAAAGCCCUGGGCUCAACCUGGGAAUGGCGAUGGAAACUGGCCAGCUAGAGUGUGAUAGAGGAUGGCGGAAUUCCCGGUGUAGCGGUGAAAUGCGUAGAGAUCGGGAGGAACAUCCGUGGCGAAGGCGGCCAUCUGGAUCAACACUGACGCUGAGGCACGAAAGCGUGGGGAGCAAACAGG
This 253-nucleotide ribosomal RNA is filed under the name uncultured bacterium. RNAcentral's name for it is "partial 16S ribosomal RNA". It matches the Rfam family "Bacterial small subunit ribosomal RNA", at positions 524 to 776 of the family's 1533-position model. The record is from RNAcentral.